GAGGGGGAGAGAAAUAGGGAGGGGCGAGACAGAAGGUGAAAGAUUGUCAGACCUGCACAGCCUUAGUUAAAGUGGUAGAUGAUCUCACAGCCAACACAGACGCCAAAGAACUCUCGGUGUGCUGCAUUCGACACUGUCGACCAUCAUGUCCUUCUGGACAGACUGGAGAGGUUCCCUGGACGCUGCAGUCUGCAAGAGGCCACUGCCGCAUUCCGACCGGGCUACGCCAAGAAAGAGAGGGAGAGGGGAAGAGGGAGAGGUAGACAGAGGGGGGGGAUAAGAGCAUCUGCUAAAUGACUAAAAUGUCAAAUGUAAAAGUCUUACAUACAGAUCUCAUAUUACUGUAUUGAACCAUGUUAUCUUUAUAUUCAUGUCACAAAUGUACCAUUUGUACAGUUCUUUAUUAAAAAUGGCGUUAUUUGUUACAUUUCACUGUUCAAAACGACUUAUUUCUCUGAAGUGAGGCGGAUAUAUAGCAUUUUGAAAUAAACAUGAUUAUGACUA
This is a long non-coding RNA of Oncorhynchus kisutch (coho salmon), 504 nucleotides long. RefSeq lists it as uncharacterized. NCBI's taxonomy places the organism in Eukaryota, Metazoa, Chordata, Actinopteri, Salmoniformes, Salmonidae. The record is from RefSeq and is a predicted model, not a curated record. The transcript has 2 exons.